Danio rerio (zebrafish) is the source of this 334-nucleotide non-coding RNA. The record is from RefSeq and is a predicted model, not a curated record. NCBI's taxonomy places the organism in Eukaryota, Metazoa, Chordata, Actinopteri, Cypriniformes, Danionidae.
CGACAGCCCAAUAAAGAAACGGAAGUAAUAGAAUUCAGUGCAACAGCAGUAUGGACGUGGAAGACGUGGCACAGAAGAAAAUGUGUCUUUGGAAGGCUGGGGGUUGAACACACACACACACACAAAAAGCAUUUUUGCUUGUUCAUCAAAGGUCCUGCAAUCACCUUAUGCCACUUAUUAAACAACAUUUGCAUCCUGGAAGUACCAUGAACCUUGGCAAUCUUGGCAAUAACCACUUUCCCAGUUUUGCAGAGAUUAAUUAUCUUAAAACUAAAAAUGUGUUUAUGUUUUUAUAAUUGACCUAUGUAAUGUAUUAAAGGUUUUGAAAGUCUGA